This 253-nucleotide ribosomal RNA is filed under the name uncultured bacterium. RNAcentral's name for it is "partial 16S ribosomal RNA". It matches the Rfam family "Bacterial small subunit ribosomal RNA", at positions 524 to 776 of the family's 1533-position model. The record is from RNAcentral.
UACAGAGGGUGGAAACGUUGUUCGGAUUUACUGGGCGUAAAGCGCGUGUAGGCUGCUUCGCAAGUCGGAUGUGAAAGCCCUGGGCUCAACCCAGGAAGUGCAUUCGAAACUGCAGAGCUGGAGUCCUGGAGAGGAAGGCGGAAUUCUCGGUGUAGAGGUGAAAUUCGUAGAUAUCGAGAGGAACACCGGUGGCGAAGGCGGCCUUCUGGACAGUGACUGACGCUGAGACGCGAAAGCGUGGGGAGCAAACAGG